Molecule: ribosomal RNA, 236 nt
Filed under: Merluccius merluccius (European hake)
Lineage: Eukaryota; Metazoa; Chordata; Actinopteri; Gadiformes; Merlucciidae
Description: partial SSU
Source: RNAcentral
UUAUACGAGCGGCCCAAGUUGAUAAAAAACGGCGUAAAGCGUGGUUAAAAAAUGUUAAAACUAGAGCCGAAUAACCUCAAAGCAGUUAUACGCAUUCGAGACCACGAAGCACAAUUACGAAAGUAGCUCUACCCGUCUUUGACUCCACGAAAACCAUAAAACAAACUGGGAUUAGAUACCCCACUAUGUAUGGCUGUUAACAUCGAGGGCCCGAUACUCAGACCCUCCGCCCGGGG